GGUUGUGGUUCAGUGGCAGAGCACUCACCUAGCAUGUGCGGGGCCCUGGGUUCGAUCCUCAGAACCA
Molecule: transfer RNA, 67 nt
Filed under: Marmota monax (woodchuck)
Lineage: Eukaryota; Metazoa; Chordata; Mammalia; Rodentia; Sciuridae
Description: tRNA.Ala
Source: RNAcentral